Molecule: ribosomal RNA, 457 nt
Filed under: uncultured Streptococcus sp.
Lineage: Bacteria; Bacillati; Bacillota; Bacilli; Lactobacillales; Streptococcaceae
Description: bacterial SSU rRNA
Rfam family: Bacterial small subunit ribosomal RNA
Source: RNAcentral
GCACAAGCGGUGGAGCAUGUUGUUUAAUUCGAAGCAACGCGAAGAACCUUUACCAGGUCUUGACAUCCCGAUGCUUAUUUCUAGAGAUAGAAAGUUACUUCGGUACAUCGGUGACAGGUGGUGCAUGGUUGUCGUCAGCUCGUGUCGUGAGAUGUUGGGUUAAGUCCCGCAACGAGCGCAACCCCUAUUGUUAGUUGCCAUCAUUCAGUUGGGCACUCUAGCGAGACUGCCGGUAAUAACCGGAGAAGUGGGGAUGACGUCAAAUCAUCAUGCCCCUUAUGACCUGGGCUACACACGUGCUACAAUGGUUGGUACAACGAGUUGCGAGUCGGUGACGGCGAGCUAAUCUCUUAAAGCCAAUCUCAGUUCGGAUUGUAGGCUGCAACUCGCCUACAUGAAGUCGGAAUCGCUAGUAAUCGCGGAUCAGCACGCCGCGGUGAAUACGUUCCCGGGCCUU